RNAcentral lists this ribosomal RNA (257 nucleotides) under Listeria monocytogenes. RNAcentral's name for it is "partial 23S ribosomal RNA". It matches the Rfam family "Bacterial large subunit ribosomal RNA", at positions 224 to 475 of the family's 2925-position model. Lineage: Bacteria; Bacillati; Bacillota; Bacilli; Caryophanales; Listeriaceae. The record is from RNAcentral.
AGAAAAAUCGAUUUCCUGAGUAGCGGCGAGCGAAACGGAAAGAGCCCAAACCAAGAAGCUUGCUUCUUGGGGUUGUAGGACACUCUAUAUGGAGUUACAAAAGAAAGUUAUAAAUGAAGCGGUCUGGAAAGGCCCGCCAAAGACGGUAACAGCCCGGUAGUUGAAAUGGCUUUCCCUCCAGAGUGGAUCCUGAGUACGGCGGAACACGUGAAAUUCCGUCGGAAUCCGGGAGGACCAUCUCCCAAGGCUAAAUACUC